ACGCACGCUGGCUGCGUGCUUAACACAUGCAAGUCGAACGGAAAGGCCCCUUUGGGGGUACUCGAGUGGCGAACGGGUGAGUAACACGUGAGUAACCUGCCCUUGACUUCGGGAUAACUUCAGGAAACUGGGGCUAAUACCGGAUAGGAAUCCUUGCUGCAUGGUGGGGGUUGGAAAGCUUCGGCGGUUUUGGAUGGACUCGCGGCUUAUCAGCUUGUUGGUGGGGUAGUGGCUUACCAAGGCUUUGACGGGUAGCCGGCCUGAGAGGGCGACCGGCCACAUUGGGACUGAGAUACGGCCCAGACUCCUACGGGAGGCAGCAGUGGGGAAUAUUGCACAAUGGGCGGAAGCCUGAUGCAGCAACGCCGCGUGCGGGAUGACGGCCUUCGGGUUGUAAACCGCUUUCAGCAGGGGCGAAGCUUGUGGUGACGGUACCUGCAGAAGAAGCACCGGCUAACUACGUG
Molecule: ribosomal RNA, 464 nt
Filed under: uncultured bacterium
Lineage: Bacteria
Description: partial 16S ribosomal RNA
Rfam family: Bacterial small subunit ribosomal RNA
Source: RNAcentral